RNA transcript from Cryptomeria japonica (Japanese cedar), 3036 nucleotides. It is a transcript of the gene named nuclear pore complex protein NUP50A, with no coding region annotated. The record is from RefSeq and is a predicted model, not a curated record. The transcript has 4 exons. NCBI's taxonomy places the organism in Eukaryota, Viridiplantae, Streptophyta, Pinopsida, Cupressales, Cupressaceae.
AAGUUCAAUUAAAACUAAUAGGAGGGUUUGUUUUCCAGUUUUUGGAUGAACGGGAAAAUGACAAACCAAAUCCCCUCCAGAAACUAAUGCUGCUUACCUAGUUCAAGAUAAAUUGGUCUUUUUUUCUCCAGCCAAAACAGAAAGAUGUUAAACUUAAUAUAGCAUUCCCUUGGAGUGAGAAAGCUUUCUGCGCACUUCUGGCCUUUCCACGAUCAUCAUAACAAGUUAGAAGUCUCACCAGAUUUUAAGCAAAUCGAUUGGAUCUGUGAAAUUUUGCACCAGCACAGCUUCUAUGACAGCUCAAGUCAGGAAGUAGCUAGUCUGAGUCCUCAAGUAAAAGCUUUCGACAGAAUCCAAUAUAACCCAAAGCAACAAGAAGUGGGAAGGUAGGUGGCUGUGCCUCCUUGUGUGCUUCUGAGGCAAAGGGUCUAAAGUAGUGGGUUUGGUGGGCUCCCCUGGGCCUCUGUUCUGCUGUCUAUUUCAAUAGCUUUAAUGGGUGAUGGCGAAAUUUCAGUCACUGCCUCAAAGAAGAGAGCAGCACGAACUCAACUCACAAAAGAUGUUGAUUUUGAUGCUGAGAAUGAGGAUGGUGGUCUUUGUGGGCAAGAAACAAAAGAUUUUCAAAGGGCAAGUGAGGAUGUCUUGGCUACUAGGAAUUUUUUUAAAGUCUGUCGAUCCCAAUCCUCUUCUGAAGGAGCCUCUAGUCCAUUUUCAGCUGUAAAAUUGGCUAUUCCUAGUGCUGCUCCACAAGUAGAAGAGGCUUCUAAAGACGCAAAUGAAUUUAGUAAUCAGGCUGAGAUAUCACUCGAGAGAGAGGCCAUUGAGGUUGGAGAGUUUGCUUUGAGGGAAGUUGAUGAAAAGGAGAACUCGGAAGCAGGAUUAAUAGACCUCAAUUCCACAGGUCUAAACUCGGGAGAACCCACCAGUGGGAAGAAGGAAUUGCAAGGAGAAUCCACAAAUUUCAAGCAUACAGAUCUUAACACAGAGGAAACAGACACAGGAUACUCAAACAAGGAGGAAACUGAGAAAGAGGAGGGAGCAGAAGGUGAGGAGAAGACAAAAAGGAAAACUUUUGAACGAAAACAACCUGCCGCCGUCAAAACAUUUCAACAGCUUUCUACUGCACAGAAUGCUUUCACAGGAAUUUCAGGAACUGGAUUUUCUUGCUCCUCUUUUUCCUUUGAUACUAAAAUAAUGCCUUUCGGAUCAACCCCAAAGUUUGGUUCUUUUAGCACAGGAUCUGCUUUUGGUUCUGCAUCCAGCACGGUGUCUGUGGGUGGCACAGGUUCGUUUGGGACAAAAUUAAGCAGUGAUGAUUUGGGUCCAUCUGCUGCUUCUGGGGAUACAUGCAAUAGUUCUGGUCCUCUCCAGCUAUUUGGAACAGCAGCAGCUGACACCAUUCCAAGAAUUGGAAGUGGCAUGGGGACAACUCAGGAAGUAUCCAUUGAGACUGGUGAAGAGAAAGAAAACUCAGUAUUUACUGCUGAUGCUGCCCUAUUCCAGUAUAUAAAUGGGGGAUGGAAGGAACGUGGCAAAGGUGAACUUAGGUUGAACAUUCCAACAGCAGAUGUUGGAAGAGCAAGGCUUGUGAUGAGGGCCAGAGGUAACUAUAGAUUAAUCCUUAACGCCAAUAUGUAUCCGGAUACGAAAUUGACUGGAAUGGAGAAACGGGGUUUUACUUUUGCUUGCUUCAACAGUGCUGGGGAAGCCAAAGAAGGCCUUGGAACCUUUGCACUGAAGUUUAAAGACAGUUUUAUAGCUGAAGACUUCCAGGCAGCUAUAGAAGCACACAAAGACAGAUUACUGACUGAGUUGAAAACACUGGAGAAUUCAUCAGAGUCUGUUGAAUGUCCACAAAUGCUUAACAACACCACUGACCCUUGAUAACAAGAAAGCUAUUUCUUUACAUGGAUCAUCUACAAGAGGAAUUUUUUUUCGGUAAAGUGGCCACGGUGGUGCUUUUGUUUUCCAUCUUUACAAUCUGAAUUCACAUUUUCUCAAAUGGUGCUUUAGUUCUAUAAUUUCUUUUCUUUUUUCUUCUUUGUGGAACAUGCACUGAUUUAGCUGUGGCUGGUGGAAUAACAUAAAUAGUUUUGCUGCAACCUUUGGCCAUCAAGUUUCCUUGGCCUCACAUGUGGCAUCGGUUGCAAAUGUUCAAGGGGUGUUUGUGAGCUCCAAAUUGAACCCAGGUCCCUUAUGCAGCAACUGCUCCAAUUCACUACUAGAUCUCUGGCGGAUGGAUUUAGCUCAUCUAGAUAGGAGCAGAAUUCACUUCGGCUUCCAAAUUUUCUUCAAGUCUAAUUGUGAACACUUUUGCAGCCUAUAAAGUCCAUGCGAUUUCAUGGUCAGGAGACUUUGGAGAAACAAAAAUAGCAUAUGCUAAAUAAUAAACCAUGCAAAGCUAAGAAGUUUUCAUGACUUUGGACAGCUGUUCUUGAGAAAGUAAAUACAUCAAUGGAGCACAAAGAGUGGAUGAAAAUUUGGAUGUGCAGUCAUUGGCGACAAGGUGCAUGAUGUAGAAGGCAGGAAGAUAACCUGCACAAACAAAGAUGUUGGGAACAAGGAAAACGCACAUAUAACAAGGUUGAAAGGAAUUCGUAAUCACUUCCCACAGCCAAUUACUCGUGAAGAAAAUCUUUGACCGCGGUGGAUUUGAGUGCAGGGCUCUAAAUUUGGUACAAAUUUGAGUGCAAAAUUAGCGGUGGUGGAUUUGAGUGCAGAGCUCCAAAUUUGGUACAAUUUGAGUGAGUGGAAAACUAGCGGUGGUGGAUUUUGAGUGCAGAGCUCAAAAUUUGGUACAAAUUUUAGUGCAAAACUAGCGGUUUGUGCAAAUUCCGAUCUAAAAGUUAGAGGUGACUUAAAGAUUUCUGAGUUUAAAUAGUAUAUGUAGCAUGGUUAAAUAAGGACUUUUUUAAUAUCAAGCAAUGACAAUCUUACGUAAAGACUUACAAUUUGAUUUAAUUUUAUGACUUGUAAUCAAACAUUCCUAAACACAUACAAUUCAUGAUAUAAUAUAAUCACACUGCAUAUUGCAUA